This 210-nucleotide long non-coding RNA is filed under the name Panax ginseng (ginseng). RNAcentral describes it as "long non-coding RNA (PGIN_LNC017776)". Lineage: Eukaryota; Viridiplantae; Streptophyta; Magnoliopsida; Apiales; Araliaceae. The record is from RNAcentral.
AAAAAGAUUCUGGUUCUGCACCACAGGAAUCAGAAGAACAAGAAGAUUAUCCAGUUCUCUCUCCCGCAAGAUUUAACAGAAGAAUAGUGGUGGAAGUUUCAAAUGAACUACCAGAGGCACCUCUCGAAAGAUGGGUGAACAAUGGAGAUGAGCAGCUCAAGGUGGUAAGAAUGACUACCUUUGAUAUAGCUAAAAACUGGAAUAACAUGG